AGUGUUAUUUAUUGUAGGGGUUUAGUUAAUUUGUUAGAAAUAUUUAUAUUUUAUUAUUUUUUUAGAAAAAAUUGGUUUAAUAAUAGUUUAUUAGUACUGUGAAGGAAUUACUUUAAAUGUUAAAAAGAAGAAUAUUUUUCGUACCUUGUGCAUCAGGGUUAAUUAAAUAGAAGGUUUUUAUUAAUUUUUCUCGAAAUUAAAAGAGCUAAUCAGGUAUUUAUUUUAUUGUUAAAUAAAUAUUUAUAAUGCUUGGUUAGAUGUGAAAUGCUAUUCGCUUUUAAUUAUAUCUAGUUUUCUAAGAAAAAAGUUUAAUUUUAUGUUUAUUAUUGAACUGUUCUAUUUUUAUAGUCUGUUUUUAUUAGGCUUUUAUUUUUAAGGGGAUAAGCUUUUAAGAAUAUUUUUAUAAUAAAUUAUUUGUUGAAUAAAUUUUAGGAUUAAAAUUUUCCAUUGAUUAAAAAAUGUUAUAAUUGAUUAUUUAAGGAAUUUUAUUUAUAUUUUAUUUAAAUUUUUUAUUAGGACUUUAUAUGUAAUUUUAUCUUAUAAUUGAUAAUGGUUAAAUUAGUAUAGAUUGUUGUUUAAAUUAUUUUUUAUUUUAAGGUAAGUUUAAGGAACUCGGCAAAUAUGCUUUUCACCUGUUUACUAAAAACAUGUCCUUUUGAUUAUAAUUUAAGGUCUAGCCUGCCCACUGAUUUUUAAAUGGCCGCGGUAUUUUGACCGUGCAAAGGUAGCAUAAUCAUUAGUUUUUUAAUUGGAAGCUGGAAUGAAUGGUUGGAUGAGAAAGCGACUGUCUCAGGCUUACUUUUUUAGAAAUUUAUCUUUAAGUUAAAAAGCUUAAAUGUUAUUAAAAGACGAGAAGACCCUAUAGAAUUUAAUAUAUAUUAAUUUAAUUAUUAUUGGAUUUGGGUUAUUUUUAUUUUAAUAAUAUAUUUUGUUGGGGUGACAGAAAAAUUAAUUGAACUUUUUCUCUAUUGUUUCAUUGAUUAGUGUUUUAUUGAUCCAGAAAUUUUUGAUUAUAAGAAUAAAUUACCUUAGGGAUAACAGCGUAAUUUCUUUAGAGAGUUCUUAUCGAAAAAGGAGAUUGCGACCUCGAUGUUGGAUUAAAGUUAAUUUCUGGUGCAGAAGCUAGAAUAUUAGGUCUGUUCGACCUUUGAAACUUUACAUGAUCUGAGUUUAAACCGGUGUGAGCCAGGUUGGUUUCUAUCUUUAAUUAAUUAGAGUGCUUUAGUACGAAAGGACCAGGCAUUUGAUUUAUAAUUUUGAAAUUGAA
Molecule: ribosomal RNA, 1267 nt
Filed under: Temnoscheila virescens
Lineage: Eukaryota; Metazoa; Arthropoda; Insecta; Coleoptera; Trogossitidae
Description: 16S ribosomal RNA
Rfam family: Archaeal large subunit ribosomal RNA (bases 842-1207)
Source: RNAcentral